Molecule: RNA transcript, 713 nt
Organism: Asparagus officinalis (garden asparagus)
Lineage: Eukaryota; Viridiplantae; Streptophyta; Magnoliopsida; Asparagales; Asparagaceae
Exons: 3
Source: RefSeq, a predicted model, not a curated record
AGCAUCCUCGAUUAAAGAGAGAAAGCAAAAGCUCAAAGACUUCAGCCGCAGGCUCAAUGGAGAAAUGGGCAAUGGCGUCCGUUGCUGCUGCGGCCCUCGACCUGGCCGCCUCGUCCUGCAGCGUUGCAGCCGAGUUCAAGAAGGCCAAGAUGAAUGACAUGAAAUUGGACGGGAAGUUCUGCUCUCUACCUAGAACUCCUGCAUUUGUACUGGGGCUCGCGGCGUUGAUCUGCAUCUCGGUUUCUCAGAUGCUCAGAGCCUUUGUCUGGAUGCUUGGUGGGUUCUCAAUCAACAAAUGUCAAACCAUUAUGAUUGUUUUCUCUUGGUAGGAUAUGUUUUAUCUUGGCAAUGAUAUUGCUGGCGACCGGAUCGAGCAUGAACAAUUGGCAGCGGUAUGGGCAGGGGUGGAUGGAUGGAAACUGCUACGUCAUUCGCACGGGCGAGUACCUGGGCGCUGCUGCGCUGAUCGUUGUGAAUCUCGUGAUGAAUUUAAGCUCGAUGUGCAGUUCGACGAGGCAAUCAAUCCAAACUCAGUGCUGCUCAGGAGAAGACGACGAAAAAGUUGAUGAGCAGAAGCAGGGAGAAGUCUGAGACUAUGAUGGAUUGUUUUGUAUUUUGAAAUUUAAUUGUGUACAGCCACAGAACAGAAGCUGUUUGUGUGUCGAGUAUUACAUAAACGAAUCUAAAUUAAAUAUGAGAAUUCUCUUUGUCAA